RNAcentral lists this ribosomal RNA (416 nucleotides) under uncultured bacterium. Its description in RNAcentral is "bacterial SSU rRNA". It matches the Rfam family "Bacterial small subunit ribosomal RNA", at positions 917 to 1333 of the family's 1533-position model. The record is from RNAcentral.
GGGCCCGCACAAGCGGUGGAGCAUGUGGUUUAAUUCGAUGCAACGCGAAGAACCUUACCUACCCUUGACAUCCUGCGAACCCGCCGGAGACGGCGGGGUGCCUUCGGGAGCGCAGAGACAGGUGCUGCAUGGCUGUCGUCAGCUCGUGUUGUGAAAUGUUGGGUUAAGUCCCGUAACGAGCGCAACCCUUGUCCUUAUUUGCCAGCACGUAAAGGUGGGAACUCUAAGGAGACUGCCGGUGACAAACCGGAGGAAGGUGGGGACGACGUCAAGUCAUCAUGGCCCUUACGGCCUGGGCUACACACGUGCUACAAUGGCUAGGACAGACGGCCGCAAACCCGCGAGGGGAGCCAAUCCGACAAACCUAGUCGUAGUCCGGAUCGGAGUCUGCAACUCGACUCCGUGAAGUCGGAAUU